Molecule: ribosomal RNA, 700 nt
Filed under: uncultured bacterium
Lineage: Bacteria
Description: bacterial SSU rRNA
Rfam family: Bacterial small subunit ribosomal RNA
Source: RNAcentral
UCAGGCCUAACACAUGCAAGUCGAACGGUAACAUUUCUAGCUUGCUAGAAGAUGACGAGUGGCGGACGGGUGAGUAAUGCUUGGGAACUUGCCUUUGCGAGGGGGAUAACAGUUGGAAACGACUGCUAAUACCGCAUAAUGUCUACGGACCAAACGGGGCUUCGGCUCCGGCGCAAAGAGAGGCCCAAGUGAGAUUAGCUAGUUGGUAAGGUAACGGCUUACCAAGGCGACGAUCUCUAGCUGUUCUGAGAGGAAGAUCAGCCACACUGGGACUGAGACACGGCCCAGACUCCUACGGGAGGCAGCAGUGGGGAAUAUUGCACAAUGGGGGAAACCCUGAUGCAGCCAUGCCGCGUGUGUGAAGAAGGCCUUCGGGUUGUAAAGCACUUUCAGUUGUGAGGAAAAGUUAGUAGUUAAUACCUGCUAGCCGUGACGUUAACAACAGAAGAAGCACCGGCUAACUCCGUGCCAGCAGCCGCGGUAAUACGGAGGGUGCGAGCGUUAAUCGGAAUUACUGGGCGUAAAGCGCACGCAGGCGGUUUGUUAAGCUAGAUGUGAAAGCCCCGGGCUCAACCUGGGAUGGUCAUUUAGAACUGGCAGACUAGAGUCUUGGAGAGGGGAGUGGAAUUCCAGGUGUAGCGGUGUAAUGCGUAGAUAUCUGGAGGAACAUCAGUGGCGAAGGGGACUCCCUGGCCCAAGA